UGAUUUUCCCUUCCCUGUUUUUUUCUGUGCAGGCUACCACCACCACACCACUGAAGGGAAGCUGGCAAAAGGAGACUGAAAAACAGAGGAGAAGGAGGAGGAGGGGUUGCUGUUGAUUCUGCCCUCCCUCUCUCCUCGCCCUCUUCUGCAUCGCCUCUUCCCUCCUCCUCCCAUCCUCCUCUGCUCCAUCCUCAGCAGACUGCCCCUUUUUCCUGUACAGCGAGACGCAGCCCUCGCCACCAUCUUAGAGCAACGCUGGCAUGAAAUGGAAGUGGGAAGACCAGUCGGUGCAGGGGAAUGUUGUCGCUGCAGAGGGGAUGUGAAACGGCCCGAGCGCACAAUGGAAGGGACAGCGGGACUCCUUCUUUCAGCCCGGACUAAAGGAGGACGCCGGCGCUGACGUCUGCACAUGCUUCCUGCCGUGACUUUGGAACAGCACUGUUUGUACCUCUCGAUGCGUCUGUGUGAUGCAUUAUUUGACCCAAGCGGGUUGUGAGCAAACAUCAUGGCGGACUGCGACUGUGGGAAACAAGGCUGGAGAAGAUCAGCAGGACCAACUGGUCUCUAACUGUUGUGACUGUUGAGGGUUUGAAUCUUUGUAAUUACCAUCCUACAUGUAUUACAUGUUAUAC
Molecule: long non-coding RNA, 632 nt
Organism: Cottoperca gobio
Lineage: Eukaryota; Metazoa; Chordata; Actinopteri; Perciformes; Bovichtidae
Source: Ensembl